RNAcentral lists this long non-coding RNA (463 nucleotides) under Setaria viridis. RNAcentral's name for it is "long non-coding RNA (SVIR_LNC009012)". The record is from RNAcentral. Lineage: Eukaryota; Viridiplantae; Streptophyta; Magnoliopsida; Poales; Poaceae.
UUAAAUUCAGUAGCAAUUCAACUCAUCUCCAAAAUCACGAAGUCCUGAAAAUAUAGCUUUUUAGAGUAGUUUAGCUUCGGUUAUUUUAAAUUCUAGGUCUGAUAUAUAGUUGGAGCUUUUACAAAAGUUGUAGAGUGUACUUUAAAGAACAAGGUUUUCAAUUAGAUCUUGGACUAAAUCAUCCUAGAUCCUGUUCAAAUUCUAGGCUAAACUUAGCAUUAACUUCUAAUUCAGCACAUCAGCUCUAAGUCUAAAGCAGUGAAAGUCUACAAAUUGGCAUGAUGAUUUAUCCUAAGUUUGAAACCAAACACUAGCGGAACCUCUUAUAAAAGUUGGAGUAUACAACCUAGAAUACAACUUCACCCAUUGGGCCUUGGUCAAAAUCUCAGCAGAACCUUUUCAAAAAUGGAUCCUAAGUGAGUUAAAAUGCUGAAAAUCAGCCUUCACGCGAAAAACAACUGAG